Molecule: non-coding RNA, 78 nt
Organism: Schistosoma margrebowiei
Lineage: Eukaryota; Metazoa; Platyhelminthes; Trematoda; Strigeidida; Schistosomatidae
Source: Rfam
AGCUAUUUAAAUUCGUGCAGAGAUUUCGUCAGACGCCAACUCAUUAGGACUGAUCAGACUUCCAAGAUAAGUGAAGUU